Molecule: non-coding RNA, 110 nt
Organism: Acanthosepion pharaonis
Lineage: Eukaryota; Metazoa; Mollusca; Cephalopoda; Sepiida; Sepiidae
Source: the annotation of a GenBank genome assembly
GCCAAAUCACACUGAAAACACUGGUUCUCGUUUGAUUACAGAGGUUAAGCAAUGUUGAGCAUGGUCAGUACUCAGAUGGUUUUCCAUUUGGGAAAACUGGGUACUGUAAG